RNAcentral lists this long non-coding RNA (41429 nucleotides) under Ananas comosus (pineapple). RNAcentral describes it as "long non-coding RNA (ACOM_LNC012698)". Lineage: Eukaryota; Viridiplantae; Streptophyta; Magnoliopsida; Poales; Bromeliaceae. The record is from RNAcentral.
UUCAGAUUUAUCUUUCCUUUUUUUUUCCCCUACAGACUACUGUUGGUUUGAUGGAUAGACCCAUAUCCAUGUCAUUCUUGCUAUCCUAGAAUGUUUUAGGUACUUUAAUUCACAUGAUUUUGAUAAAUGAUUCAUGUUAGUAAUAUAAAACUAGUUGCAGUUACGAGCAUGGUUGUGAAAUUGGUUGCAUUUCUCUUUUCUUCUACUUUAGUACAUACUAAAUCGGCAAAAACAUAUGGACAACCCAGCAAUAGGUCGUUUAUAAAUGGGUCCCUUCGCUUCUGUCUUUUGGAUCUCAACAGUUGUAUUGUUUUAUUUCAGAGUACUCAAAUCUCUAACAUUUUUUAUGGAAUGUUCCGCCACUUUAGAGACUAUUAGAAUGUUCCGCCACUUUAGAGACUAUUCUACAUCUCCUUCAGAGAGAAACAUUAAGUAAACAGAAUCCCUGAUGUAAUUCAAAUUACACGUUCGUUGAGAGUAAAAAUACUAAAAGAAUUUGAAGUUCUGGGCUUUUUCCCAAUGACCUAUAGUAUGGUGGGUGUCUAUAUCUUUUUGCCUGGUAAGUAGCAGUGACUGUUGUGUUUGAAAAUGAAUGUUCUUUAAGCUUGAACUGAGAUUUAAUAGUGCAAGUGCAUUGUCAUCUGAUGCUACACGCAAAUUAUCUUCUAUGAAAUAGAGAAAUGUGGAACAUACAAAGAAACCAUUGAGUAGAUGCAGUAGCCUUCUAAGUAUGAUUGGCAUUAGUUCAACUUGUCCCAAGCAACUGGCACAUAGCGAGAUUGAAGUAUCAGAGAUUGAGGGCUCUUCUAUGAUGCACAUGUGUAAUAUCAGCUUGCCAUUUGCCGGUAAGUGAAUUCUUUUGAGUAAGUAGCAUUUGAUAUGACUAAUUUUCGUCCGGUACAUUAUUUUCGUCAGAUGAGGUAAUUCAAAUCAGGUUAUUAUUCAGAAAAUUUUCUGGGCAGCUGACACUUGCCAAAUGUAUGAGUAGUCCCUUUAAAAUCAUAAUAUAGUGACUUUAUUGCUGUAUUUUUCACUUGAGCAUUUUAGUCCCUGAACUCUUUACAUUUUAGUCUUUUAUUCUAUGAAGCCGCUUUAUUUCGGUGAGUAACCAAAACAGUAACUCAUAUUGUACCAGAGAAACCACCCAUGUAUGACAAGUAAUUAUUACUGUUAUUACCAUUUUUUUUUUUUGCUGAAACAUUGAAUUUGGUUUCGGUUAGUGAAAUAUGAAUACCUAGCUGAUCAUACUACAUUAUGUUAUUCAAUUUCUUGUUCUGAUAUUUUUGAAUUCUAUCCUUCUGGUUGUGACGGCAGUGCCGAAAUCAAGUAAGAGUGGCAUGUGGAUGGGCCCUAGAAUCAGAAUGUCUCUUCCGAGUUUCAGGUUAGGUUAUAACAUAGACGCAGAAUCAGGUUCUUAACAAAGCUUUUUCUUUUGCUAGAGGAUGACUUUAACUAUGGAAAUUUCAGCGGCCAAACGGAAUACAAUUCUCACCUUCUAAAGUACGCCUGCCAAAUGGAAUGCAGGUACGAAGAAACUAAAUCAUUUCGAACAUUUACACUCAAAUGUAAAUAACUUUUGCUUAUGAUUUAUCUUUUACACAGUUCAGUGCUUCUUGGUGGUUUCCGUUUAUAGUUGCUAAUCUGUUUCGGAAGAGUGGCAAAAUUAGCUUGUUUAAUGUUUCAAAAAAAAUUUUAAAAAAACUUGUAGGCAUGUACUUGAAAAAGUUUUCUUUUCAAGGUGACUCUACAGAUACAAAUUUUUUUUUUUCUGUUACUUUUCCCUCCAGAUCAUCUUUCUGGCUAUUUGUAUACUCUAUGGUGAUUUACUAUCUUGUUUCUGCUUGUAGUACUUAACUAUCCUGUUACUAUGACUCUAAAAGAUGAAAAUUGUUUUACAAGUUUAUAUUUGAGUAAAUUGAAAUAUGGAAAUUCGUAUAUAUGAUUACCUGCUAAAGGUGAAUUUCUGUACCGACUAUGCUAGCACUUGGCAUCUAAUUUGAUCUCUCUCUUCUAUCUACUCUUGUUGUAUACUUUAUAUGUUCUUUUUCCCUACGCAGUGUACGAGCAGUAAAAGCUGCUAAAGUAUCGAGCCCGGCUACUAAAGACACUCAUAAGCAUUCUCGAGACGCUCACUCUGAUUACAGCAAUCAAGAUACCAGUCUUUUAGCGGAAGAUAAUGCAUGGAAUCGAAGCAUAUCGGUGUUAUUGUCGAAGCCCAUCUUGGCUUUGGAGUUCAACCUUCUAAAGAUGCAGGUCGAAGCUCCGAAGUUCGUGGUUCCUGACUCGAAGAAGAGUCAAGUUCGAUAUUCGAGUGCCUAGUUAUAUCCUCUGGACAUUUACCUAUCUAGAUAUAUGUCUUUGGGAAUAACUUUUAGGUUUCGCUUCUGAUUAUUCGGUGUUUUUGUCUCCAAAUGUGAGAUUGCUACUUGUAAGAUGUCGAAAAGUAUUUCAAGUGCAAAUAUGCAUGCAAAUUUCAGUUUCAAGCUGCUUAUUCAGAUCUGCUACAUACUCAACAGAAGCCACAAGCACUUAUUGGUAAAAGCAGCAAGGAAUGAUCAAGUAAAGAUCAAGCAUAGGCUUCUGCAAUGUCCAUGAGAUACUGGGACAGCUCCUCCGGCGUCGACAGCAUCGCCAUGUGGUCAGCGUUUUUGAUCGUCUUCACCUCUUUUACCGGGCUUUUCGCGAUCAUGNCUUCCUCCUCACACCGCGCUCUUAUAUAUAUAUAUAUAUAUAUAUAUAUAUAUAUAUAUAUAUAUAUAUAUAUAUAUAUAUAUAUAUAUAUAUAUGCAUGCAAGUAACCAAAUUGUUAGCUUUAUUGGGAAAAAUAAAAUUGUUUGGUAAAAGCUUAUAUUAGGCUUGAACAAACACUUUCAAAAACUUUAAACCAUUUCCUCUGAAAUUCAAGCUCCUAGAUGACAGUUUUUUUUUUAUAUUUUAUUCAGCAACUUGCAAAAAAAAUUUUGUUGAACAUUUUUUAGAUAAUUUCUCGCGAAACUUAGGGGUGUUUGGUUACUCAAAAAAAGCGUGAAAAACCUUUCUUUGGAGAAAUUUUUUUCUGUAGAAACAUUCUUUUUCACAGUUCUUAUUUUCUGGAUAAAAACAUGGAAAACAAAAACAGUACUUUUCCGUAAAAUCUAAAAAAGAACUUUUUUGGAAAAUAUAUUUUUUUUAUUUUUUUUUUAACGGUAAGACAUUCAAUGAUGAUCGGCACCGUUAAAUAUAAUCUAGACCGUUUGAAAAUUUUAGUAAAUUUUAUAAUUUCAUAAUAUCAUUUAUUCAGUGAUCAAGUGGUCUGAAAUUUUUAUAAAAAAUUAGUCAUUAAAAGCAUGUUGAUUUUGAGACCACUCGAACCAUGAGAAAAUAACAAUAUCGAUCGUGGAUUCAGACACCGAAUCCCCGAAAACAAUGCAGAACUAAACGACUCCGUUUUCUUCGGGAAACAUUUUUAGCUCCUGCUGUGCAAAUUAACUACAUUUUUAGCACACCAAACAAUUAAUUAAGUAAUUAAUUAAUUACCUCAGGUGAGCAGAGUUGGUAGAGCCUUGAUUUGAGAAACUGAGGGCCAAACAACAUGGUCGUUGGUCGAUUUGAAUACGAUUUAAACACCGUGUCCAUCCAAUAUGAUCCAGAUGCUUUGCUCAACUAUUUAAAUUAGUACAAUAAAUAGUUAAUUAAACUAAUUAAUUACUUAACCAUGUUAAUAUUAAUAGGUUAAAUUGCAAAAAAAAUAUUUUGUGCGCUUUAGCUUAUGUCUUAAUCAUCCCCUGCGAUAAAAAAUUUGAGGGUAAUUGUUGUAUUCAAUCACAAAACUUUACUAAUAUACUACAAACUUGUAUCUGCAAAAUUUUUCUAUUUAAUUCAACAGUUUUCUUUAAAUUUUGUAUUUUUAGCCAUUCAUCAAAUAUAAUGCAGUUUUAAUUAAUAACUCUAAUUAAUGCACAACUGUUUGCUAUUGUAAAUUAAUGCACAACAACAGAAUUAGAAUUAGAAUAAUCCAAUAUUAUUUUUUUUUCUCUUUUUUUUACACUCGGAGAGAGAAAAUAUUCUGCGCUAGGUCGCUACAAAAGAAAUAUUGUGACUUUCUAUUACACUAAAUUUCUUAUCUUUAUAAAAUAAAAAAAAUAUUUAGGUAAAAACAUAUGAAAUUUAUCUGAAUUAUAAACUAUUUUAAAUCGAUCAACCAACCAAAUUUUCAAAAUUUGAUCUUACUAGCCAUCUUUUCUACUUUGUUUGAUUCAAGUUAAUCAAUAAUACUUUAACUUUAAAAUCCAAAUGCGCUGUUUUUCUUUAUAAGUUUAAUUAAUAUAUUUCAUGCAACUCUCAUAAUUAUAAAUUUAUUAAACUAAAAAAUUAAUUUAAAUUUUAAAUUGAAAGUAUUAUUAACUGACUUAAAUUAAAGGGGAAACUUCAAAUACCCCUCGUGUGGUUACGUAUUUUUUCACUUUAGUACCCUGUGGUUUAAAGUGUAUCAAGUUAGUACUCUUUGGUUUCGUACUUUCUCACUUUAGUACCCUGUGGUUUCUAGUGUAUUAAGUUAGUCUCCUAUGGUUUCGCAUUUUCUCACUUUAGUACCCUAUGGUUUAAUAUAUUUUUAAAAUUAUUUAUCCUGAAAUGGAUAAUAAAAAGAGAAAAUUAAAACCACAAGGUACUAACUUGAUACAAAAAUAAAACAAUAGGGUACUAACUUGAUACACUUGAAACUAUAGGGUACUAACUUGAUACACUCGAUAUUAUAGGGUACUAAAGUGAGAAAGUGCGAAAUCGCAGGGUACUAACUUGAUACACUUUAAACCACAUGGUAUUAAAGUGAGAAAGUGCGAAACCACAGGGGGAGUAUUUGAACUUUUUCCUAAAUUAAAUAAGGGAAAACUACAAAAGCCCCCCUGUGGUUUAAAAUGUAUCAAUUUGCCCCCAUGUGGUUUCUUUUUUCUCUUUUUCUUAUCAAUUUCAUAAAUUUUUUUUAAAUCAGUGAUAAAGUUAAAAAUUAAAGAGUACUAAAGUGAAUAUUUGAUAAAUCUAGAUGGAUAUCUGAAGUUUUUUAUAUAUAAUUUAAUAAAAUAUUAACGAAAAAGCUACCGAAAAGAUAAAAACGAAACCACAGGAGGGGCAAUUUGAUACAUUUUAAACCACAGGGGGGCAAAAUGAGAAACUACGAAAUCACGGGGAUUUUUGAAGUUUUCCCAUUAAAUAAAUAGUAAAAUUAGAUUUGUGAUACACCGCAUAAAAAAUUCAAAAUCAUCUAUUGACAAAUUUUAUAUAUUUAUUUUUUUUUAUCUAUUUAAGAACUAUAAUAAGUCGAUACUACUAUUUUACUGAAUAGAAGGACAAUACAACCAAUGGAUUUAUUGUAGUCUAGUAUUUUUUUUAUUCUGCAUUAAUUGUUAAGUGGUUUCUUCGUUGGUACUUCAAUUAAAUUAAAUUAAUUAAUCCGUUAAAUUUAGUUUAAAAGGGGUGCGUGGAUCUAGUUCCUGAAAAAUUUAUGGCGCGAAAGUACAGAACUUAUUUCAACUAUAAGCUUUUUGAAUUUGAUUAUUUAAAUUUUUAAAAUUUUAUUUUUAUUAUAAAUUUAAAGAUUAGAUAAUAAAAUUAAAUUUUUAAAAUUUUUUAGACGAAUGAGCUGAAAGAUCUAAUCUAGGGAAAAAUGCUACAGUGUAGCAGUUACAUCGCAUUAUCUAUUUUCAGCCAAUCAAAACUCUCAAUUUUACGAAAAAGUAUAAUAAAAAUAUUUUUUAAAAGAAUUAUAAUAAAUUAGAUGAAUUCUAAAAAUAUAAUUUGAUUAGUUGAAGAUAGGUUCGAAAGUCAGAUUGUGUUCGGCUCAAAAUGAGCUCGAGACCGAAUCGCUCGUUUAGUAAACGNACUCUAUAAAUAUAUAUAUAUAUAUAUAUAUAUAUAUAUAUAUAUAUAUAUAUUGUGUAGAGUUACUAUGCUAUCGGAAGUAUAGAGAAUCUGGUAUUUCUGACUUUUUGAUAUUUUGAUAAAAAAUUAUACGGUUGGGAUGAUUGCGGUCCCCCCUAGGGGCUAGGGUUUAAUAGUAUUCCUAGAGUUGAGUGGUCUCUAUAGGAUAAUAGUAUUAAUUUAAAGAUUAGAAAUAAUCCAAGGGAUUGAUUUAAGAGCCAAAAAGUCGAAAGUAUCGGAUUCUCUAUGCUUCCGAUAGGAUAGCAGCUCUACUCAUAUCAUAUUCAUAUAUAAAUAAGUAAUUAUAUAUAUAAUACGAAUUUUUAUCAUUUAAUUUUUACCCCAAUUUAAAUAUAAAGUCAGACUCAACUAUUAAAAAAAUCAAUAUAUAUAUAUAUAUAAAAUUUUAACCACUAUAUCAAAAUCUAAUGCAUAAGAUUUCAUAAAUUUAUUUUUUGUAUAUAUAUAUAUUCUUUCUAAUUCUUUUAACUCGUUAUUUGUAAGCCAGCUCGUGUUCGGCUUGUUUAUUAACGAGUCGUGUUAAACGAGCCAAACACGAAUUGAAUUUUUUAGCUCGAUAUUUUAAUGAAUCAGUUUGCAUUCAGCUCGUUUACAGAAGCGGAUUCAACUCGCUCGUGUCCGGCUCGUUAACAAUCCUACAUGGCUGUCGUAUUUUUAACUUUGUUUUUAUUUUUUAUUUUGGCUAAAUUACAGAAAACCCCUCUAUAAUAAUCUGCUUUUUCACUUUCCCCUCCUGACAUUUAAAAACCUACACUUUGCCUCCUUAUAAAAUGAAAAAUAUUCACAGGGGGGUUACGGUGUGUAAAAUGACCAUUUUGCCCCUCGCCAUUGUCGUCUUCUUUCCCAUCUUUCUCAGCCGCCCCUUCGUUCGGCCGCGAUUCCCACUUCAAUCGGCUGCAAUUUCUCUCCAUUUUUUUCUCCACCUGCUUUCCUUCCCCUCCUGCACCCUCGUCGCCCUCGAUUUCGGCGACAGUAGGAGAAAACCGAGGUGGGCGACAGUAAGAGAAGGGCAAAGAAGGCGAAGGCGAAGGCGAGGCGGCGGAGGACGGCGAAGGGGAUGUGGGUGAGGGCGAGGCAGUGGAGGACGACGAGGCGGCUAGGCGGCGAGAUGGCAAGCCGGAGGGAGUCAAAGCAACAGGGAGAUGGCGGAGGGGUAUUUUCGGCAUAAAAAUAUAUUUUUUAACUGAACCCUAACGGAACCCUAACGGUAGGAGGUGAAGUGUACAUUUUUUAUUUUACAGGAGGGUAAAAUAUAGAUUUUUAAAUGUCAAGAAGAAAAAGUAAAAAAGCGAGUUAUUAUAAGUGAGUUUUCUGUAAUUUAGCUAUUUAUUUUUUAUCAAAUGAGUAGUACAAAAGAAGUACUGCCUUGAAAAGUGGGUAAAAAGUGUAUGACAUACGAGAGUUAGGGGGUUUGCAUGCAACAUGACUUUGAAAGUAGGCACCAAACUACCAAAGAGGAGGCACGUGACCAACUACCUCAGCGGAUCUAGCUUGUUGGUACGAGGUAACAGUAUAAAAGAUUUUAAGGUAAACUUUAAAUAUUAUCUCUGUAAUUUUAUAUUUUUUUUACUCUAAUUUUUUAUUAUUUAAAGUGUAUCAAUUUAGUAUCAUAUGUUUUUUUUUUUGUCAGCUUUUUUAUUAAUAUUUUGUUAAAUUAUAUAAAAAAAAUUUUAAAUAUCCCACCUAAAUUUAUUAAAUAUUUAUUUUAGUAUUUUUUAGUUUUAAUUUUGUCACUGAUUUAACGAAAAAAAAAUUAAUGAAGAGAAUAAUAAAGAGAGAAAAAUGAAACCAUGGGUACUAAAUAAAUAUACUUUAAACCACAUAGUACUGAAAUUAAAAAAUGCGAAACUAUAGAGGUGGUAUUUAAAAUUUUUUCAAAAUUUUAUGUCAGAAACUAUAUUCUUCUCUAAUUUUAUAUCCUUCAAUUAAAAUUUUUUUAUUAAUUAGCGAAGGUUCACAGCAAAGUAAAUUUUUUUAAAAAAAUCAUAAAAAUAGAGAAGAGUAGUGGGUUUCACAAUAAGGCUAGGCUUUUGAUUUUGAUUUUGAAAAAAAAUAUUAGGUAAAUAUUUGUACAUUUGUUUCUUCAUAUAAUAUAAUAUAAUAUAAUAUAAUAUGUAGAUAUAGAAAAUUAUAGAAUCACAUAAAUCAGUCUCUUUAUUUUGUAUUUAUUUUUUUUUAUCACUUGAUUUUUUUUUUGUUUUCGUGUAUUUGGGUUGCUAGCGCAUAAAAAACAAAUUUGCAAGUUUCUAAUAUUAAAUUCUCCAAAAUAAUUGUAAAAACUGAUCAAUUUGGCUCAACAGUAAUUUUUUUAUAAAAAAUUGCUCAUAUAGAUAUUGUUAAAUUAUAUGAAUAACUAUUAUUCUCUAAAAAAGUUAAACUUGUUGAAAAUAAUAUUUUUAUUUUUUAAUAUUUAAUAUAUGGACUUUAAUUAAAUGAGAACAUAAAUUAACUUGAAGCUUUUAUUUGGAGAUUCUACAAUCUUUCCAACAUUUUUUUUAGAGAGAAAUAAAUAAUACGCUAUCUGUUUCGUUUAUUUUAUUUAGAAAUAAAUUUAGCUGAAAAUAUAAAUCAAUUAGAAUUCAAAUUCGAAAUCUCAGAUACCGAUCACUGAACUCUUUGUCACUUACGCUAAGAAUGAUCGAUUCUUUCAAACUUUUUUUCAAUUUUAGAAAUCUAAGCGUACAUGCUUUUCAGAAUAGAAAAGUUGUUUUAUAAGCCAAGCCAAAGUAAGAAUAUCGUACCUCAUCAUAGACGGACGAAGGCGGCGAGGUCCAAUCGGGCCUGAACGCCGUCACGAAGACGGCGGCGGCGACUUUCUCGGGAAACUUCUCCAUGGCCAAAGCUAUGUUCAGGCCACCGAGGCUGUGGCCUACUAUGAUCACCCUCUCACCAUCAGGAAGGGAUCUUAGGAUCUCCAUCAACGGCUCGGAGUAUUCGGCGAAGGUGCGCACCUCGUCGAUCUGCCGAGGGUCGAUACCGGAGGCGGCGAGGUCCGGUACGGUGACCCGGUAACCCGAUAACCGGAGCCGCGUCGUGACCUUGUACCAGCACCAGGCUCCUUGGCCUGCUCCAUGCACAAGAACUACGUGCUUGUUGGUAUUGUUGUUCUUCGAGUUCUCCAUCUUUCUUUUUUUUUUUCUAUCUAACGAGAUUAUAUAUAUAUAUAUAUAUAUAUAUAUAUAUAUAUAUAUGAAAAUUAAGGUCUUAGAGGUGUCCCAGGGCUCCAAUAUAUAUCGAUGGAAUGAGAAUACACAUCCACUCAUAAAUGCUUUAUAUAAAUGCACAGCUACUUAUUAAGUAGGUAUUGGUGAGCCAAAAUAAUUGAAAUGUGCUUACGCAUAUGAUGACCAAAUGGUAGGUAUAUGUAUAUAUAUUGUUUGCAACUUUGGAUCAUCUAUGUAGAAGGUUAAAUAAAAAAAGGUAAAAAAAAAGGAAAAAAAAAAGAAAAAGACUUUAUUGCACGCACCAUUGGGAUUUUUUUCCACUUUAACUCUUUAAAAAUUUAUAAUUAGUCAAAUAAUCUUGUAAAAUAUUUAUUAAUUUGUUGAAAUAAUUCUAUUUUAUUCAACUCAUUAUUGGGGUACAAAAAUAAUUGAAAAAUGAUCAUUUUCAGGGAAUAAAAAUAAUUAAAAGAGUACAGUCAAUUAUUUACUGUUUUUUAUAAAUUUUAAAAAACGAUAAAUGAUUCACCGUCUUUUUUUUUCAUUAGAGAUGAUAAAUAAUUCACGGUCUUUCUCUUAAAAUACAAAACAAUGAAUGAUUUGUUGUUUGUUUCUAUUUCCAUAUAUAAUCUUAACAAUCAUAUAAUGAUUUCAAUUUUUUUUUUAAUUUUUAUACAAUUUCAAAAAAGAUAUAAAUUUUCUGAAGGCGUUGAAUGAUUCACCGUGUCUUUCAGAUUAAUUAGUUAGCUAAAUAAAUUAGUUGGGUCUCUUAUACUCGAAAUCAGAACUCUUUUUCCAUCCGUUAUGAAACUAUUAGGUUAAUUAUUACACAAUUAAAUUUCUAAGCUUUACUUAUUUAUUUUUCAAUUAAGUUGUUACCACGAAAAAUACCUUUGAUUCAAAUUGAAAUUACGACGUGGCUUGGUUUAUUGCUGUUGUGGUACUAACAUGAUAAAUAUUAGCUGAUGCUAAUAUGCCAGUUUUUGCUUGAGUUAAUUAAUGGUGUUCUUAGCAACAAUUAAAACUUAAUUACGAAAAAAGCGAAAGAAAAGAAGUGACAAAAAAAUAAAUACACCGAGCUAAAAAUAGCCGUUCUUUCACCAUAUGUAACACAGUCAACAAUAUGAAUCUUAAUAGGAUAAAAAAUUUUAUAUUAUAAUUUACAUGCCAAUUAAAUAUUGUCAUAAAAUAUUAGAGUUAUUUUAUCAACGUUGUCAAAACUGUCACUAUAGGAUGAUUCAUUUAUUGAAAUAAAAUGUCAUUAUAUGAUUGAUUUAGUGCAUAAGUUGGGACAAAAAUUUGCUGGGCAGCGUGCCCAAACUAAUUAGUUUGGGCACGCUGCCGGAUGGGCGCCCAAAACAAAAUGGUGGAAUAGCAAAUUUCUUACUAUUCCGGAUGUAAUACUGGUGCGAAGUGGCCAAGGUAGGGAUGUUAAUGGGUAUGGAUACCCGAAAUUUUUUUCGAACCCGAACCCGAAUGAAACGGAUAUAUCCGAUGGAUAUGAAUAUGGAUUCGGAUAUGGAUAUAAAAAAUAGAAACCUGACGGAUAUAGAUUCGGAUAUGGAUUUUGAUUGUAUCCGAUCCGAACCCGAACCCGACCCGAACCCGAAUUUAUUUUGUAUUAUAUAUAAUAUAUAUAUAUAUAAAUUUGAUGUUAUAUUUGAAUUUGUAUUUUAAAAAAUUAGAUUUAAUAUAAUAUAUUUUGAAAUAUUGAAAAAAAAAUAAAUAUUUCGGGUUCAAAUUUUUGGGUUCGGAUUCGGGUUCGGAUUUCGAAUUUUUAGUCAGGUUCGGGUUUGGAUAUGGAUUUUUAAAAUCAGUCGGAUUCGGGUACGGGUUCGAGUCUCGGGUUUGGAAUCGGGUUCGGGUUCGGGUUUUUAAAAAUCCGCCCCGAAUCCGACCCGUUGACAUCUCUAGGCCAAGGUAAGGGAGUACUGGAGAUCUCUAGAUCCUUCCGGAAUUGGGUUACCGCAUUUAUUUGCGCUGUUGAAUCCGAUCCGUUACGCCCUAGAGCGGAGCCGAGGCCCAAGUGGAUACGUGGUCCGACCAGGCCCAUGUUGACUUUUGCUUACUUGCAUUUAGCCCCAGAAUGUUCUACAAUUUGCAAUUUAAUCCUUAGGGUACUAGUAUAAAUAAGGGCAUUGUAAUAAUCCCGAUCAUCAUCGUCGCCAUCCGAGCCUCAGAGAGAUCUCAUCCUCAGCGGUUGCGACUUGCGACUCCGAUCGGGUUAAUCUCUUGUUUUGGAUCGAUCAAUGCGAUAUUGAUCUCCAUUCCUGGCAACAGCUGCGAAAUUCCCUUGAUCCUGAUCAACUGCUUGAUCAACAUGGCAACAGUAAUAGCUUGAAACUCAAGCAUUACACCGGAAUAACCGAGAAUAGUAAGAUUUGAUCGGGAUAAAAUAUUUCGGUCAAAUUUCACUCCGUUUGGCGGAAUAGCGGGGAUAACUUUCGUUAUCUCCGCUUAUCCCCUGAACCAAACGGAGGGCACCGUUUGGAUCGAGGAUAAGGGGAGGUAUAACCGCUUAUCUCCCCUUUAUACUCAAAUACAAAUUUUUUAUUCGAGAAUAGUAGUUUUCGAGUAGCUGAAAUAAGUUGGCAUAACUAUUUCCAUCAACACUUUUAUUUUCUAUAUAUAACUAUCUACUAUUUUUCUUAUUCCAUAUUAUCUAUCCAAACGCCAUUUUUUUUAUUCUCGGAAAUAACCUAAUUUUCAUCCAAACGUUAUUUUUUUUUAUUCCCAUACUUGUAUCUAUUCCUGUAAUAAGUAGUUCUUGCUUGUACCCGAACCAAACAGUGCUUUUAGUCUAUAGCUGUAAAGUUUGAGUGCAUGUAAGCAUCAGUAUGUAGCAUCAGACUUGCUUAAAUGUUUCGUCUGAAUGGAAAUAAUAGAAGAGAAAAAAAAGGGAAACGAAAGAAAAAAAAAAUAAAUAGGAUAAAUAAUUCUUUUUUAAAAGAAAAAACUUGGCUUGAAUUUCAAUUCAGUUUUUGGUAACUUCGUGUGACAACGUGGUUGGUGAGUUUAAUCUAUCUUUUGAAAAAUUACCACCUUAGCAUAGGGUUGUCAAUGGGUAUGAAUAUCCGAAAUUUUAUUCGAAUCCGAACCCGAAUGAAACGGAUAUAUCCAGUGGAUAUGGAUAUGGAUUCGAAUAUGGAUAUCAAAAAUAGAAACCCGACGGAUAUGGAUUCGGAUAUGGAUUUUGAUUGUACCCGAUUCGAACCCGAACCCGAAUUUAUUUUAUAUUAUAUAUAUAUAUAUAUAUAUAUUUGAUAUUAUAUUUGAAUUUGUAUUUUAAAAAUUUAGGUUUAAUAUAAUAUAUUUUGAAAUAUUGAAAAAAAAAAUAAUUGUUUCGGGUUCAAAUUUUCGGGUUCCGGUUCGGGUUUUGGAUUUUUGGUCGGGUUCGGGUUUGGAUAUGGAUUUUUAAAAUCCGUCGGGUUCGGGUUCGGGUUCGGGUCUCGGGUUUGGAGUCGGGUUCGGGUUCGGAUUUUUAAAAAUCCGCCCUAAAUCCGACCCGUUGACAUCUCUACCUUAGCAUCCUCAUGAUACUCUCUCUCUCUCUCUCUCUCUCUCUCUUGAAAAUUGAAACUUCCAUGUAAAACUAAAAUUGAAGUUGAAUUUUAGGGAUGAAAUUGAAAUCGGGGCCAAACUUUAGGGACUGGAUUAUGUUAAAAUUAACACCGAGGUGAUAUUUGAGAGACUUUACUUGUGAUUAAAUUGUCUUGAAUCGCUAUUAAGUCCAUGAAUUCUAAAUCGGGCAAAAAUAGGGCCGAGUUUUCAGAAUCUAUGACCCAGCAUUGUCCCCUAGCUCGGACGGGGCAGGACAAUGCCAUGUCGGGUAAGGCUUCGUGAUAGUUCUUUUAUUUUUUUAUUUUUAUAAAACUUAAAAUAAAAAAAAAGGACUAAAAUGAUUCUAUUUGUCCAUUUUUCCUAGCCUGGGAAAAUAUUUUGGCCGAAAUAAUCAUAUGUAACAACAGAUAGGUUUCAGGGCUAUUUGUAUAAAACUCGAAAUUGAAUCCGAAAAAGAAAAAAAAAAAUAAUAAUCUUGAAACCAUACCCGAGCUGGAUCGAUUAAAAAUAUCCGAAACACAAAAUUGAACCGAAUGAAAAACUGAAGAUCUGUGCCUGAAAUCGUAAAAUCAAUCCGACCAUUUACUAUUGAACUAAAUUAUUAAUAUAUAUUAAUUAUUAAAAAAAGAAUGUAAAAGAUUAUAUUUUAUAGAGGUUUCGUUCUAGCUUCGGGUUCGGCUUAGAUGCAAGUAUAAACUAUAACUGAAUUCGAAUUUGUCGGUCAUUGUAUAUAUUGAUAAUCCAAACCAUACUUGUUUAGUAUUGAUUAAAUCCAUUUGUUGUAGAUUUAGGUUCAGAUAAAACUUUCGGCUAUUCGUAACCAUUGACAUCUAGAGUGGACACAAGGAGAUCCGGUUGUGCGGAUCAUGCCCCGAUAGGCCGCAAGCCAGGCCCCUUGCAUGGCACCGUUCGAGAUGAGUAGAAGCUGUGUCGCGCUGGGCCGAAGGCCAACCCGAGACACUAAACGGCCUGCGAUGGGCACGAGCCGUGCCGUGCUGGGCCAACUAGCUAUCCAACUAAUUUUCAUCCCUAAUUCUAGAGACUUUUCCUUUUAGGGUUGAGGCUCAAUAAUUUGGUAGAAGAGUAUGGAAGAGAGAAAAAUCCUAACUCUUUGUGAUAGUGAAUUUAGCUUAAACAGAUACUACUUUUGGACAUGUACAAACCCUAAUCAUUGUGUAGUUCUCUGGUUCACCAUCAGUGUGUUUUUGUACUCAGCUCAAAUUCCUCAUCCUAAUGUAACAAUCAUGAUGAGAUCAUCUUAAACCAACUUGUCUGAUUCGACUAAUGUCGGGUCUUUCAAGUAGUCAGCUAAAUUUCAAACUCCGAAGUUUGUUUAGUUUCUCAGUUUUAAAGUUUAAGCUUCUGAUAUAAAGUAAACCAGUUUGAAUAGAAUAAACGGCUUACAGUGGUUCGGUUCUUUUACCACAUCGGUUCGCUUUCGAUUUCGAUUUCGAUUUCGAUUUUGAAAUUGUACAUGAUAAAUUUAUUUGUUUGGAUCUACAUUUUCUUACAUUAGCAAAUCUAAACCAACCAAUGCACACCCUUUGUAAAGAAGAUAUAAUUUUUUUCUCUUUGAAGAGUGUGUAGAAGAUAUUUUUCUUGGGAGGGAGUGAGAGAGUUCACUAGAGGACAAAAACCAUUUAUAUUUCUCAUGGGCCACAUUGCAUAAGAUGGUGACAUGGGCUCUCUUUUUUAUAUUUAGCUUUAUGUGACAACCAUAGAUGCCAUUAGUGUCAUGGGAUCCAAAUGAGCCCCAAAAGGGGUAGUUGUGGUGCCAUAAAUAAAAAUAAAACAUGGGGAGAAAAUCUGAAAAUGAUGUCCAUUGAGUUUUAAAUUGGUAAAUGUGUGUAUAUAUGUAUGUAUAUAUAGGCAUUUUGAAAAAUAUCCUUAAAUUAAAUUAAAAAAUUUAUUAAAUUUUAUGGGGGCUUUAUUAAAUUUUAUUUUGCAGAGUUAUUUUUUAUUUGAACUUACAAAAUUUUAAAUUAAAAUAAUUUAAAAUUAAGAGAAUUUAAUAAAGAGAAUAACAGUUGAGAGGAGAGGGUCUUCAUACAUUUUUUUUUUACCCUUUGAAUAUUUUUAUCCUAUAUAUAUUCUUAUAUUUUGCUUGCUAACAUAUUGAUUUGCCAAUAUAUCAAACUUACAACUCAUUUAAUAUUAUUACAUACAAAUAGAAAUAAAGAGUAUGACUAUUGUACUAUUAGGAGCACGGCAGCUCAUGUGCAGAGAAAAAAAAAAUUGAGAAUAAAUUCAAAAAGAAGAGAAACUGAGAUACCUAAUUUUUUUUCAAUUUUUUUUUAUCCCUCUCAUUUUAACUAUACCUCAAAAUUGAUGAAUAAUUAUGAACUUAAAAGCACAUGAAUUAUUGUGCUCUUAAUAGCACAGUAGUUCUGCUACAAAAAUAAAUAUUUUUUUGUAACCGCCUCUUUCUUUUCCAUUCCCACUUAAAUAUCUCCAAACAUAAACAAAAAGAAAAGAUAAAUUAAAAAAUAAUAAAAUAAUUCCCACUUGCGACAAAAUUUUAAAAGAUAAUAACAAAAAAAAAAAAAAAAAACUCCUCACUCUCACCUCUCAUUCCCUAUCCACUCUCCACGUGUCUCCCCUCCUAGAUUUUUCCUCCACCUUUAUAUCCCUCCCCCUCUCACCAAUCACUCCCAUCUCCAACCUCCUCUGAACCCUAAACCCUAAAACCCCCCUAACCCUAAUCCUCCAAUUCCACCCAUGGCGACGAUGGCCACCGCCGCCCUCUCCUCCACCCCGAGAGCCCUGGACCACUCGUCCUUCCACGGGGCCUCCCUCCCGUCCCGCGUCGUCCCGAUCAGAACACUGUCGUGCACAAAAACGUCCGCUCUCUCCGUGACCGCCGCCGCGUCGGUCUCGACCCCCCGGUACGAUCUGAACGCGGUCCGGUUCGAGCCGAUCAAGGAGUCGAUCGUGUCGCGCGAGAUGACGCGGCGGUACAUGACGGACAUGAUCACGUACGCCGACACCGACGUGGUGGUCGUCGGCGCCGGCUCCGCUGGCCUCUCCUGCGCCUACGAGCUCUCCAAGGACCCCUCCGUCCGCGUCGCCAUCAUCGAGCAAUCCGUCUCCCCCGGCGGCGGCGCCUGGCUCGGCGGCCAGCUCUUCUCCCCCAUGGUACGUCCCACACUCAUUAUGAUUCUCUAAAUAUUAACUCACAUACGUACCGUGACGAUCGAUUAGAGAACAGUGUUAUAAUAUUUUCAUGAUACGUUACAGGAACACUCAUUAUGAUAUUAUAAAAAUAUCGAAUGAAUGAUUGAUAUAUUAGAAAGAGAACGGUGUUUUAAUAUUUUUAAGAACGGUGUUUUAAUAUUUUUAUUAUUGUGACACAGGUGGUGCGAAAGCCGGCGCACCUGUUUCUGGACGAGGUGGGGGUGGAGUACGACGAGUGCGAGAACUACGUGGUAGUAAAGCACGCGGCGCUGUUCACGUCGACGAUCAUGAGCCGGGUGCUGGCGAGGGCGAACGUGAAGCUGUUCAACGCGGUGGCGGCGGAGGACCUGAUCGUGCGGGGCGGGCGGGUGGCCGGGGUGGUGACGAACUGGGCGCUGGUGUCCAUGAACCACGACACGCAGUCCUGCAUGGACCCCAACGUCAUGGAAGCCAAGGUCGUCGUCAGCUCCUGCGGCCACGACGGGCCCUUCGGCGCCACCGGCGUCAAGCGCCUCCGCGACAUCGGCAUGAUCGACGCCGUGCCCGGCAUGCGCGCCCUCGACAUGAACGCCGCCGAGGACGCCAUCGUUCGCCUCACCCGCGAGGUCGUCCCCGGCAUGAUCGUCACCGGGAUGGAGGUCGCCGAGAUCGACGCCUCCCCCCGCAUGGUAUCUAUAUAUAUAUAUAUAUAAACUCUCUCUCUAUUCUAACUGCAGCAGCAGUUGGACCUCUUCUGUAAUUUUUACCGUAAUAAUUGAAGUUAAAUAUAUCAAAAUCCAAUAUCGAAUUUAUAUUUACAUAUAAUUAUAACGUAUAAUUGCAACUACGUACGAUCAAACAGUCUCUUAAUAUAGUAGGAAACAGUUUAUGAAUAGUCUUUUGUAUGUACAGGGGCCGACGUUCGGGGCGAUGAUGAUAUCCGGGCAGAAGGCGGCGCACCUGGCACUGAGGGCUCUCGGGAGGCCCAAUGCUUUGGACGGGACGUUGGAGGAGGCGGCGGCAGGGGCGCAGCCGGAGCUCGUGCUUGCGGCGUCGGAUGGUGGGGAUGUGGUGGAGGCUUAGAGACGAGGGGUGUGUUUAUGGUUUCAGUGUUUUGAUUGAUCACAGGGGAGCAGAGGAGGGUUAGGAAGAAUAAGAGGGUCUAAGCUAAGGAGGGGUGGAGUGCAACUGGAGAUAGAGAAAUGGAGUAGACUGUAAAAGAAAGUUAAAAAGACUUUCAGAAACUUUGCUGUUUGUUCAUCUUCUGCUGUCAUCAGUGUCUUGUUGUUAUCAAAAACAACCGUGUCCUUUUUCUGAUUCUCUGAAUAAAGUAAAUUAAAUGCGCUCUGCAAUAUAUAUAUGCGUGUUGUACAUUUUUUUCAUUCAUUAUUGUUUUUGUUCUUGAACAUGCAAACUGAUUUGCUUGGUUUUGAAUCUUGCUAGUAAGUGGAUUUUGGUGUUGAGCUAAGAACAUAUUAUCUAGAGCCCAACAUAUUAUUUAAACAAAGUAUCGCAACUAGUUUGAAUAUUGCCAACAAAUUAUCAUUAUUGUUAAUUUAGUAGUAAUAAUAAAGUAAUUACGAAGUGCUCUUCAAUUAGAAUUCUUGGGAAAAAAAAGAAAAAAAAAAUCAAAACUCAUUAAAGAUACUGCUGCCACGGCUUCCGAAUUCCAAAGUAUAACUUUCACCGAAGAAGCGCUAGCAAAUUUCUAGUUCAAAUUCUGACUGCUGCUCUACCAAACAAAAAAUAGGACUUCAAUUUUUUAAUAUAUAUUAUAUAAAAAAUUCUCAUCUGUGCGUAGUGUAGCUGUAUUAGAACUUAAACCAAAUUUGCACUCAACUGCAGCAAGGUUUCAUAUGGGAAUAUUCUGGGAAUGGUAAAGUACAAUUUGCAUUUAAGAGUGAGGUGAAAUACCAUUUUUUUCUGCAACUUGAAAUUCAGAAAUAACUCUAACUAAAGAUGCAAUGAUCCCUGGUCAAAUAACUCAAACUUGAGAGGUUAGUGAGGUAGUGCCACUUUACCUUGCAAAGCUGCAGCGCCGGGGCACGGCAUUUGUUAGAUUCUACACAUUAGGAUUUGUUUUCGGAAAAGCAACCGUAAAACAGUAUCAGUUUUCAACAUUUAUUUAAGAAAAAAAGCAGUGCUACUGUACACCUCGCAUAUCGGUGUAAAAUUUACACCCUAUAAUGAAAUGUACAAGUAGAAUUUUGUUUGAGGAAACUGAUUGGCUGGUUUAUUAGCAACAAGUUUAUAAAUUCACUCUUAUGUGUAACCUGUAAAAAUUCGCAAUUAACUCAGACUAAAUUAAACAACAAAAUCCCACAUUUGCAAUGUAAACAAAUUUUCAGUUCCAUACUAAGCACUACACUCUGAAAGCUGUCAGAUACUCCGCAUUUACCUGAAAAAUACAACAGAUAUGCGUAAAUUUAUACGAUCUGAAAAUAUGAAAUUGGAGAGCAACAACGUGUAAGAACAACGUAAAACCCAACCAGGAAACGUAAAACUCGAAAACAGUUUCCAGGAAGCAAUAUUACUACGAGUCCCAGUUCGGAAAUUUAAGGCAAAUUCCCAUUUCAAAUUUCCCAUGACACAAUACAACAUGAUUUAUCUUGUGCUCGAAAUAAACACAAAAUGUAACCGUGAAAAGAAGCACUCUACAUUAGUUAAACACUUUUCACUAUAUAGUUGUAUGCUCAGGAAAGAUCCAGUUGUUGUAAGCUUUUCGAAAGGGGCCCAAAGGAAUUCUAAGGUUAAACUGCAUGGUGGUACAUCAUUUUAAAACCAGAACUCAGUACGAAGGGAAACACAUUAUUCACAUAACUCGAUUGGAAUUUAGCUGGAAACAAUGCUUGGCCAGGAACUCUUUUGAAUUCGCAGAAGUGGAGCAUACAAGGGCUUGAGUAGUGGAUAAAAGGAAAAAAAAAGAAGAAAUCCUCGAACAAAGUUAUGGACUGUGUAUAGCCACCUCAAGGGUUAUUAAAAUAAGGGAGGAGGGAGACAGCAUAUAUGACUGCAAUACAAAGGGCUCUCCUUAUAUGACCACCUCAAAGGUGAAUGCUAUAUCAAUGCUGCAUUUGCUCAGUAAAAAAGAAGCACAGAAAGAUAAGAGCAUGAGCUUCUCAUGAAUUGGCUUCUCUAUAGCGUAAAAAGAUACAGUUUGAAAGUCAAAACGUUGCAAGUGUAAUUAAUGAAUAAAAGAUAAGUUUCAACUCAUUCAUAGAUAAUAUAAUAUGUUCCAAUUGUUAAGAGAUUAGAAAGUCGUAGUUGAAGGCUUGUCUAAAGCGUUGAACUAAGAAACAAGCCGUAAGAUAUGUGUCUGGUAAGCAAUAAAUGAUUCAAAUCUGACUGGCUUCCCUGUGCUACACUAGUUAUAGGAACUAAAGUAUCUUAAAAAGUAUAGAACACAAACUGCAGCUAAAAUAGGUUUAGGGUUGAGCUCAAACAAACAGCGAGAAGCAAUAAGGCAGUGUCUAAUUGAAAAUAGAUCCAAUAAAGAGACUUACAACACAAACUACCAAGAAAUCAUUAUGCCUUUUCAAGCUCUAUUCUAGGUAAGACAUAGAUUGAUUGAAUUAAUACCCCACAGCCACAUUUCUAUGUUACCGAAAGGUAUAACCUAUGAAGGUUUGCUAUACAGUUUUUAUUUAAAAAUUUAGUUCACCAUGAACAAUAUGGAUCCUAAGCAAUAAUCUACAAUGUGGCAAUUGUGUGCGAGCAGCAAGCUGUCAAAUUGGCCUUUCCUGUGAAAUGGUGCAGAUGCAGGUGCAUACUUAUAAAAGUCAUCUAAAAUACGAUAAAAUAUUUCAGAACAUAAAAGAAUAACUAAGAAGGAAAAAUAAAAUUUUGAAAAGCAAUAAAAUUUUGAAGAACAAAGUAACAUAAUCAAGAUCAUACUGAAGUUUUCAAUUAUCUAAUGCAAAAAGAAAGAUAACAUUUGUGAGAGCACGGCCAUAAAAAAAAAAAAAAGAUAACAUUUUUCUUUCAUAUCUCACAGCAUUUAUAGCAUCUUAAACGUAAAUUUAGAUCAAAGUUCUCUCACUACCUGUGUUCUCAACUCAAAACCUCCUCUAUCCAUCGAUGAGGACCAUGACAUAAACCAUAACACCGAAAACUAGAACAAGAUUACUCCACUUCAGAUGUGAGCAUGUAUCUUCGAGAAAUGUCAUUACAUUUCUAAAGCAAUAGUCAAUACUAAUAUUCAAUAGAUCUGAAAUAAGAUAAAUAUUAGAACAUAGACCUUCAAUCGAAGAAAGAGAGAGAAGCUACUCCAUACCUCCCAAACUAUGACAAAGAGGAAGAAGACCCUUCUUCCUCCGCUCCUUCAGCCGGAUCAUCUCCAACUGUUGGGCCAGAAGGCGUGAAUUCCAUAUCCGGUCUUCCAAUUAUCCAAAUGGAUCACCUUCCUCACAGCCCAAUAAGCUAUCACCAUGGCCACUAGCAUGAAGGUCCUCUGCACCGCCAAGCUCCUGAUGCGCACCAACACAUGCGUCACGAAUGCGAUCACCAGCCCCACGAUCGUGUACAGGAACCCCACCGCGAAACCCUCUGCUCCGAGCUGCAUCCCUGAUCCCUGGUAGAAGAAUAUCAGCCGGUCCGGAUUGUUCCGAUCCCUCAGAAACAUCGGCGUCUUCCGGAUGAUGCCGUGCAUCGCGCCGGACACGCUGAAGAAGUAGACGAAGAUCGCGGAGGCCAUCCAGAGCUUGCGAUCGUGGAAGAUCGUGUCGCCCUGGAGGAUACGCUUGAUCACGAAUGGCGAGAGGAUGAGGAGGAGCACGCCGAGGGCGACGAUCUGGCCCCGGGAGAGCGGGGGCGGGCGCUGGAUCGGGCCGAGGGAGAGGCCGGUGCGGGACGCGACGAACUCCGCCAUGGAUUCGGCGCCAGCGGCGAAGUUGGAUUGGUCCAUGGGCUCGGAGUCGCGGAGGGAUCCGGCGUUGGGGGUGACGAUGCGGAUGUGGGGGAGGGAGUUGACGCCGAAGAGGGAGAAGGAGGAUUGGGACUCCCCGAACUCGAGAUCGGCGAAGAAGAGGCGGGAGGAGGAGGGGUUGUGGGCGGAGAAGGAGGCGGAGAGGAGGGCGAACUCGGAUCGGAGCUCGCGGAGGUGGAGAUCGGGGUUGGAGCGGAGAUGCGCGGCGUCGAAGAAGACGAGGGAGGAGAGGAAGCGGGACACGGCGGCGUCGUUGAAGUGGAUCACGCCGGAGGGAGAGCGCGAUCGGAGGGUCUCAAGCUCCGCCACCAGAUCGUCGGAGGAGGGAUCGGCGGAGGCGAGGAAGAGGAGGGGUACGAGGAGGAGGAGGAGGAGGAGGAGGAGGAGGGGUUCGGGCGCCAUUAUUGAGGUUUUCGGAGAGCGGGAUCGAUGUGGCUUUAGGGUUUUGAUGGGAGAAGCAGAGUGGGGGAGGAGAAAUGUGGCUCAGAGAAGAAGCGCGGUGGAUAGGAUGGGAGCAUAGAGAGUCAAAAAGCGCUCUUGGAAGAAGCUGCAGCGGGUGCUAGAAGCAGAAAUUCUAAAUGGGCCUACCUGGGCCCAAACUAGAUGAAGAGCCUGGCUCUCAGAGACCGGCCCGGUAGUCCCCUAAACCGUGGGCCCUGUUUUCACCGUUAGCCAUAGACCGGCCCACUAAACACUCCCGAAUGAACGGAAAAAACAUGACGGUCCACAGUGACGUGGUACUCCUCGUCCACCGAAGAAUGUAUCGUCCUUAAGGCGUGCGGCGUGGCCAUGGCCGCACCCACUUGUUCUUCGGAUCUUCUCUUCUAGACGCACAUAGCUAUGCACCUAUUUCACCACGUCAUCUACACACCGCACCCUCAUCUCCGUCCAUUUUAUUAUUUUUUGAAUCGCCACGGUCGUGGCAUCUUCGGUGCAGAAUUGACGUGGUGCACUAUGUGCAAGGAAACUUUUCUUCCAAAUGGGCCGGCGCCUUGGUUAUUUAUUUAUUUAUUUAUUUAUUUAUUGAUGAUUAUUAAUAGGCUCACCUAAUUCGACCGUUUGCUAUGGCAGCGGUCGAAGAAGCCCAUUUCGUGCAAGUCACGUCGGAACAGCUCACCUCGAACACGUGUUCGGUUUUGAUUGGCUUUACUUUUCUUUGUGGUUGGGUCUACUGUCCGGGUUCGACGUAUGCGGACAGUAAUCUCACCUAUAAAUCUCCCCUUCCCCGACCUUUCCUCUCCCUCAUCCCAUCGCUUCGAAAACCCUAGAAACAGAGUUCCGAGAUCCCAAUCUCCUUCCAAGGUGCUUCCUCUCUCUCCCCUCUCGAUCUCUCUCGCUUCCAUCUCUUGUAGCUUAGAUUUAUCUUAUUCGGGGAGUUUUGCUUGUGAUUUUUGGAUCAAUUUCUUUAUUUUUGUUUCUCCUCUUUGUGAUCUGAUUUGAUUUGGUUUCUCCCUCUGCGGUCGAUUCAACAGAUGCAGAUCUUCGUGAAAACCCUCACCGGAAAGACGAUCACCCUCGAGGUGGAGAGCUCCGACACCAUCGACAACGUUAAGGCCAAGAUCCAGGACAAGGAGGGGAUUCCCCCGGAUCAGCAGCGGCUCAUCUUCGCCGGGAAGCAGCUCGAGGACGGCCGAACCCUAGCCGACUACAACAUCCAGAAGGAGUCGACCCUCCACCUUGUGCUCCGUCUCCGCGGCGGUAUGCAGAUCUUCGUGAAAACCCUAACGGGGAAGACGAUCACCCUUGAGGUGGAGAGCUCCGACACCAUCGACAAUGUGAAGGCCAAGAUCCAGGACAAGGAGGGGAUUCCCCCGGAUCAGCAGCGUCUCAUCUUCGCCGGGAAGCAGCUCGAGGACGGCCGCACCCUCGCCGACUACAACAUCCAAAAGGAAUCCACCCUUCAUCUUGUCCUCCGUCUCCGCGGCGGUAUGCAGAUCUUCGUCAAAACCCUAACGGGGAAGACGAUCACCCUCGAGGUCGAGAGCUCCGACACCAUCGACAACGUGAAGGCCAAGAUCCAGGACAAAGAGGGCAUCCCCCCGGACCAGCAAAGGCUCAUCUUUGCCGGGAAGCAGCUCGAGGACGGGCGCACCCUCGCCGACUACAACAUCCAAAAGGAAUCCACCCUCCACCUCGUGCUCAGGCUGAGGGGUGGGAUGCAGAUCUUCGUCAAGACCCUAACGGGGAAGACGAUCACCCUCGAGGUCGAGAGCUCCGACACCAUCGACAACGUGAAGGCCAAGAUCCAGGACAAGGAGGGCAUCCCCCCGGACCAGCAGCGUCUCAUCUUCGCCGGGAAGCAGCUCGAGGACGGACGCACCCUCGCCGACUACAACAUCCAGAAGGAAUCCACCCUCCACCUCGUCCUCCGCCUCCGCGGUGGCAUGCAGAUCUUCGUCAAGACCCUCACCGGCAAGACGAUCACCCUCGAGGUCGAGAGCUCCGACACCAUCGACAAUGUCAAGGCGAAGAUCCAGGACAAGGAGGGGAUCCCACCGGACCAGCAGCGUCUGAUCUUUGCAGGUAAGCAGCUCGAGGACGGCCGCACCCUCGCCGACUACAACAUCCAGAAGGAAUCCACCCUUCACCUCGUGCUCCGCCUCCGCGGUGGUAUGUAAGCUUCCAACGUGCUAUCGAUGGGGUCCCUGGCAAUUAUCCGCGCUCUUCGCGCCUGCGUCCUGUUCUAUGAAUUAUCUGAUUGAGUCUCGUCUCGUGUUCUUUGCUGUGGGUCUAUAAUAUACUCUAUAUGUCGUUUGCUUUGUUCUCUGUGGUCAGUUGUCUGCGAACUUUUCUACUAUGUUCUUGUGGUGGUUUCUAAUAAAUAAAGAUAAUGCCAGGUUAUUGUGUGCUAUGCUAUAUCGUACUUUCGUGCUUUGGUAUUUCAUAUACAUAAUAUGGUUAUGGUAUUGAUUAUCUAGCUUGUGCUGAUUGAAUGCAACCUUCUAAGGUCUAGGUAAAUCUAAUGUGGUGACUGGAUUUUGUGCUUCUCUAUGCAGAGGAAAUAAAUGAGUGUGUUUACAGCUAUACCUGUGCUUUAUAUUAGUUCGAUAUUUACAUGAUUACAUAGCUUUUUUGUAAGGUGGAGUUUAGCUUCUGUAUUUUGUUUAGUUAUGAUCAAUCCAAAUAUUUUUCUUUCUCAAGAGAACUCAUUGAAUCUUUGGAGGACUCGAAAUCAUUAUCUACUGUGCAUUGAUUUGGAGUUAGGAUGGUGUGUGAAGCAACAUUUGAUCUUAGUUUUUCUUAGUUCAAUGUAUCGAUCAAAUAUCACUCAUCCUAUUUGGCACGGUUUGGUUCGUUGGUUCAAUUGCUGUGAAUCGGCAUAACAUGGUUGAAGGUAAUAAUGUUGGCAUGACACCAUCAUAUCCAUGGAACGUAAACAGAGCUACUUUAAUCCAUGGAACGUAAACAGAGCUAUUUUAAUACCACUGAUUGUUUGAUUUUGUUAAUAUUCGAAUUCAGUUGGUCGUUUUAUGGAAAUUUGUUAUCUGGACAACUGUUGGUAAUACCAGAUUCCUUGUCUUUUAUUACUUCUUGUAUUGUGUCUGCCGAUUCUCUUUGUAGGCAGAUAUUACAUUGUUUUAGUUGCUUCCAACUGCAAUCUUUAUUCCUUACAAACUCCUCAUGACUUCGUGCCAUUGUAUAUACAUAUCAAGUACUUUCAUGUUGUCUCUUUGAUUUAUAGUUAUCAAUUUUAUUCAAUUUCGCAUGUUUCAGUUGAUCUUAAUUAAGAGUUAAACUGUGUGCUGUGUGCUUCAUGUUGUCUCUUUGAUUGAUUCAUAGUUAUCAAUUUUAUUCAAUUUCGCAUGUUUCAGUUGAUCUUAAUUAAGAGUAAACUGUGUGCUGUGUGCUUCAUGUUGUCUCUUUGAUUGAUUCAUAGUUAUCAAUUUUAUUCAAUUCGCAUGUUUCAGUUGAUCGUAAUUAAGAGUAAAGUGUGUGCUGUGUGCUUUGUGUUGUCUCUUUGAUUUAUAGUUAUCAAUUUUAUUCAAUUCACAUGUUUCAGUUGAUCUAUGAGCUUUCUCGUCUCUAUUCCUUUGUAACUUUUGUUCAUUAGACGACCUCUCUUUCGCCCCUUACAUGAGCAUAAUUAGUGGUUAUCAUACACCACCCCUCAAAAGGGGUGUAUAAGUAGGCAUUACUCAAAUCUAGGAUUCUAAACAUGUAAAUUGCAUUAUUGGCUCUUGAACUUUUCAGAGAGUUUAAAUUUUAUUCCCUGUGAUACAAAAUCAGAUGUGGAUAGUAUUGAUUCAUUUAGAUUUUAAUUUUAAUUUUAAUUUUUAAUUUUUGAAAUUUUAAUUUUUUUUUCUAAUUUUUAAAAUUAUUCUGUUUGUUAAUACAUCUUAGUCAUUCUUUAAAAGAUUUUUAUAAUUUAUUAUGUGAAAUAAAUUUUUAAAAAUUAGGAAUAUAGUUUAGAUUUCUGUUUUUUAGAUUUGUUCGGAUUAGAAAAGAUUUUUAAGAUCGUGAAAUUUGAUUUGGAUAAGAAUUAUAGAUUUAUGCCUUGUAAUUGGAGGUUGAGGAUUACGAUGAAUUAGUUUGGACUUUUGAUUUGGCACCUGUCGUCAUAUAUUUUUUUUUGUGGCCAAUAUUUUUUUAAAAAAAAUUUUAUUUUCUAUUUCCUUCCUUUCUUUCCUCAUUUUUUUUCUUUUUUUUUGUUUUUUUAAAAUUUUCUUCUAAACUUGCUUUUUAAAUUUUCUAAAAUAAAUUUCCAAAAUUUUCUGACCUUUUUUCAUUUAUCGGCUACGUUUUUAAUCUUCUUUUAAUUUUCUUAUUUUUUUCAAAAUAUUACAGAGUAAAAAAAUUUCAGCCGCACUUCUCUUUUGGAUUUUGUUUUCUUCUUUUUACUCCGAAAAUUAGUUUAAAAUUUUUAAAAUUUUUAAUCUUUUUUAAAAGUGAAUAUUAUUUUAAAAUUUUUAGAAAAUUUUAAAUUUAGUUUUGAAUAGAUUUUGGGUUCAUCACUAGUACGAUAGGUUGUAAUUUUUUCAGUUUGUUCUCUAUUACCCUCACUUUCUAAACAUCGAGUUUUAUUUUUCAUUUGUAAGUUGCAGUGUUAGAAUUGAAUUUUAUUUUUCAUUUGUAAGUUGCAGUGUUAGAAUUGAAUUUUCAAAAAUGUUUAGGAGCAAUUUGAGUUAGCUACAUAGUUGGAGUUUGAAACCCUUCUGAUUGAACUGGGUUAAGAUUUGCAUGUUCGCUUUCAAAAUCUAAUCUUUCAAAUGUAUGAUUCUGAAAUUUGUCAUUCUUGUGUGAAUCUGGAUUUACAUGUGAAUAUCUAAAGAAAGCUACAGUGCUUUUGCUGCAGCCGGAAGCAGCAAUUAUCAUUUGAAUUUCGACAGCAAGAGUUUCAAUUUGACACCACUAUAAAUUAAAGCCACUCUUACACCACUUUAGAUUAUCUUGGUUUGUGACCCAAAGCUUAGCCUUCCUAUGCUAAAAUGCUCAAUGGUGUCUAUGUUCUUACAUGUUAUUUUCUUAAAAACUCGUGUAUAUUAUUUAUUUAUUGCGGACCGUAAAGUCGUUUUUUUUAAAAAAAAAAAUAAUAAAUUUGGCUGAAAGUAUGAAUCAGUUAUGAACUAUCAAGUACUUUACUAAUUACGCUAAGAACAGUGGGUAAAAUACAUAUAUACUUUUGAUCUCAUUUAUAUUGAAUAUAAUAUGUUUUCAAAUUCAGGUAACCUCUCUCUCUCUAUAUAUAGGGCUAGGCUCCUAUGCUUUCGAAAGUACGGAAGGUCCCGUGCUUGUAAGUUGUUUUUGAUGAUGGGACAUCCAAUUCGGCUAUCGGUUCCGUUAAACUUGAUCUAUGCUAUUGGAACUAUCUAGAAACCAAAUGUCAUAAUUUUUUGAUUUCGUUUGUCUAGUGGACGAGUAGCCUCAAAAUGAACGGCUGAAAAUAAAAAUCUCAUAAAAAACAGUGAUAAAGAAUUCAAAUUUUAAAUUAGAAGUAUUGAUCUUACUACUUAUGUUAAGUAGAAUUUUCUAUUAAAUUUUCAUGUAAUUUGGAUACUUCUACACCGUUGAACUUAAAAAUGUGCCACAUCGACCGUUAAAAUAGUCAAUUUUUAGACCUUUUGAUCGCUUAGUAAAUGAUGUCAAAAAAAUCUAAAAUUUGGUUUCUAGAUAGUUCCAAUAGGGUAAAUCAUACCUAACGGAGCCGAUCAUCGAAUCGAACGUCCUAUCAUCGAAAACAACUUAUAAGCACGGGGCCUCCCAUACUUUCGAAAGUACGGAAGACGGACUCUAUAGAGCUAGGCUCCUAUGCUUUCGAAAGUACGAGAGGCCCCGUGCUUGUAAGUUGUUUUCGAUGAUGGGACAUCCGAUUCGGCUAUCGGUUCCGUUAAAUUUAAUCUAGGCUAUUGGAACUAUCUAAAAAUCAAAUUUCAUAAUUUUUUAAUUUCGUUUGUCUAGUGAAAUAUAUAUAUAUAUAUAUAUAUCACGACAAAAUCAACAGCCGUAAUAUUUCUCAUCUCUCCUACUAAGGUUUUUCAAAACUUAGACCCGGUAGUUUUGGAGUGUAAUCUCCACGCGUUAUUUCCAUUUUUUGACUCAUUCUUUUCUAUUUAUCCACCUAUGAAAAUAUUCUCUUUCGAAUUAUUUUAGCCAAUGAAAUUAAACUUAUCAUUUCGAAUUACAAAAAAAAAUUACAUCAUGUACGGUAAAAAAAUUAAUUAAUUAAUUUUUUUAUUUUAAUAUAUAACAUUACAUUCCGUAUACGAGUCAAAAAACAAUAUAGCUUAAUAAUAGCAAAUGACAUUAAGUAAUUUUAAUUCAGUUGAUUAAAUUAUUAAAAUUUAAACAUAUAAAUAAAAAAUUAUGGGUGUUUGUUAUAAAAAAUAUCUGGGAAAUAUCCCCAUGUUUAAUUCCUCCUUAAAAUACUUUUCACAACUAGGGUUUCUACUUUACGAUAUACACACUCAAAAACCAAAACCAAAAAAAAAGAAAAAAGAAAAAAGAAAAAAAAAAAAAAAAAAAAAAGAAGAAAAGAGGUUGUAAAAUGAGGGUGGGCGUAGAGAACCUCAUGGGGAGGUUCUUCUAUGCGGACGUGGAGGAGAAUGCGACGGUGGGGACGCUGAAGAGGGAGAUCGCGACCGUCGAUGCGACGCUGCACGAGAGCCGCUUGAUCCUGAUGCUCCCUACCGGCCGUCUGAUGACGGAUGAACGGCGCGCGCUGGCCGAGUACGGUGUGCUCGACGGGUCCAUCGUGUACCUCUUCUUCACCUCCGCACCAAUCGAUCCCCAUUGGCUCGCUUAUUUUCAGGAUUUUUUUUAGUUUUUUUUUUUAAAUAGAGAGUAAUAAUGUUUUUUAUUAUUAUUACUAUGAAUUUUUGGCUUUUUAUUUUUAUUUUUAUUUUAUUUUUUGGGGUAUAAAGAGAUUACGUAGUUGCAAAUUAUUGUAAAAUUGAUUUGUUACGUAUCUCAAAUGGAAAAAAAAAAGAAAAAAGGAAAGGUGAAAAUAUAGGGGUUUGAUUUAUUUGAUCUUCAAACUUAGCAGGAUAUUUAUACUUUCUCUCUGUACUCAAUUUCUUAUUUAUAAUAUUUGUUAUUAAUUACCAUUCGAUUAUAUCAACAUCCAUGGUUAUUUUAUUUUAAUUUAAAGCUGAAAAUAAAAAAUCUCGAAAGACUCAAUAUAUAAUAUAGAACAAAAUUGAAAAAAAAAAUUGAGGGACUAAACAUGCAAUAUAAAAACAUUAGUUCAUUUUAGUUUAUUAAGAAGGGUUAAAAAAUAAAGUUGUGUUGAAAUACUAUUAGUAGCAAAUGAAUUUUGUUGUUAUUAGUAGCAAACAUUAGUUCAUUUUUUACUUUGAUUUUAAAAUCGGUAAAUAUAAAUAGAGUUAAAUUAGUCGACGGCACUUUUACCGUCUUAAGUGUAAGUGACGAAAAACUUGAUAGUCGAUAUCAAAGGUUUCAAGUAUGAAGCUUGAUUGCUUCACAUUUUCAGCUAAAUUUAUUUUUUCAAACAAUAGAUCAGAUAUGAUCAAUAUAUUACCAUUCUCUCUUAAAAAAAAAAAAAAAGUUUACUUUGGGAAACUUCACUAUACAAACACAUACCUAGUUUUGACCCCGCACGCUAUAAUUAUUCAAAACUGUGCAAAUGUAGUGCACAUGUUACUGUUCAAAACAGGGCUUCAGAUAAAAUCAUCUUCGAUCAUCUGGUCCCGUUCUUCUUACCCAGACUUCUAAAAAUAUCUAUAUCUAAAAAUAUAUGUAUAUUAAUCCGAUAUAUGAGGUACGAGCUCUAAAUUUAUUUAAGUUCGUACGUGUGGUAACUUGAACAUCUAAAAUUAGAUCACUUGCCUACGAGAUUACCAGUGAUUUGGUAAUUUAUGAAUUUUUUUUCAAAAGUUUUAACUGGUAGUUAUUUGGACACGCGAAAACCCCUCUUCAUUGCGCACAUGAUAGAAAAAAUUGCUGUCCCCUGCAACUUUAAUGACGAGUAUAUCGCAUUUAAGCUUUGUCCAUUGUCAUGUUGGAAUUAAUUAUAUAUCGCUAUUUAUCUUCAAAGAGUUACCGCAAAGGUCUGAAGUUCGAGCCUAGUGUUGAUAUUCUGAACAGUUGUUCUAAGAUGUUAAGACCAAUCUCAAGAUUUGUUUGGCUCACCUAUUUUAGGAUCUGGAAUCAAAUUGAAAUAGUCUGAUUUCGAUAAUAUUUGUUUGUUUUAUAGGAAUCGAAUUUUAAUUCUUAUUCUAUUCUGAAAUGAAAAUAAUCCAAUUCAUUAUGAUCCAAACUUAAACCAAAUAUUUUUGGAUGAAUUGUCAUCUCAUUUUUCAUGCUAAUAUUGCAAUUCAAUUUUAUUUUCCAAUUCCAUUCUAAUCAUAGACCAAACAUGCCUUCAAACUAUUUUCUGUUAAACUGAUACAUAUUUUUGGUAGUGUUACCAUAUAUAUUACAUGCCAUAUAUAUACCAUAUAAUAUAUAUAUAUAUAUACUACUAUUUAUAUUAUAUAUAUAUGGUAACAGGCAGUAUGAUAUAAUAUCCAAUUUAAGUUAUUGUUCCUUCAAGAUCCUUAUUUUGAUUCUUACGUUUAUUAUUUCAUAGCUAAUAUUUCCGCUUCAAAAGUUAUUAUUUCAUAGCUAAUUUAAAUUAUUAGACCCCUCAUUCCUACAUAAGAUGUAGGGACUAUCAUUAUUUAGAAUAGUUGGUUAUUUAUUUGUUUUAUUUUAUUUUUUUAGAUGUUGGUUUUGUUUAAAAGAGUUAUCCUACGGGUAUGAGUUGUUCUAUAGUGUGUUAAGACUAAAUUAAGACCACAUCAAUCCUAUUGGAUAGAUAUUUACAUCUCUUUUGUUUUAUCUUCAGUUAAUGUGCAUUGUAGCAUUACAUAGUAUUUCUAAAUUAUUGCAUAAUAAAUCAUUCUUUUGAGCUUAAUUUGAGUGCCAUAAAAAUUGGGAGUGCUCGAUCUUCAGGUGUGAACUUCAAAAAGAAAAAAGAAUAAUGAAAACGAUAGAAGAGAUAGCGAGUACAGUUCCAGCGUCCUUAGAUUUGACCGAUGAGAGCGAAAUCUUAACCAUAAGAUCAUGUCAUUAGAAGAUUAGUUUAUGCAAAUCGUGGUAUAACAACCUCCACACAACCAGAUUUCUAUUGUUCUUUAUAGAAAAUUUAUGACACAAUCAGAUCUCUACAAAAUCUGCAGAUUAGUAACUAAUGUGGUGGACCAAAGUUUACAUUGAAAGUGGUGGACCAAAGUUUACAUUGAAAAUUAAUUAAAUUAAGUUUAUGGGAGAGAUUCUCAUAGCUGGGAGAGUGGGGAUCAUCUACGCACACCCCCACCCCCUCGUACGUACGCGCAUAUGUUGCAAAAUUUACGCCUAAGGCUUUGGAGAUGCCCACGUGAUUUGUCGACCCACAUUAUGCACCUUUUUAUGGUUUUUUGGACCACGACACAUGACUCAGCAUAUGUCACGCGUAUAAUUAAAAAUUUAAAUAUCGUGACACGAGAUAGAACGGUACAAUAUAUAUAUAUAUAACACUAUAUCAAUAUAUGUUAGUUAUAAAAAAAUAUAUAUACUGACAUAUAACGGUAAAAUAUUCUAAUUAAUUAUUAUAUAUUUUUAUCAAAUAUUUUAAAAUUUAUUGAGAAAAUUAUAUAUUAAUUUUUUUAAAAAAAUUUUUGAACUGUGUUAUCGGCACGGAAGCUGUAUGUAAUGCGGCCCAUACCAACGGACAUUUAAAUUCUUACUUACAAUAGCCGAAAAAGUUUUUUCUAUAACAGAUAUGCUACGUACGUACGCAAUAUUAAUUUAUAUUUUGUGCUUUAUAAAGCUCGAUUAAUCUCAAUAUAAUAUAAUGAUUUAAUGAUCCAUAUAAAAUUCAUACUUUGAGCAGUGAAAAUUAAGUCAAAGAGUUCGAAGUUUAAUUAAAAGGUUUAGAAAGAAAAGAUUUUGUUUGCAUACCGUUUUGCAAAAUAGAAUAUCUUUAUGAAAUAUAUGUUACUUAGAUGAUUUUCUCCGGGCACAAAAUGAGAUUUGAGAAAUUAUUGUAUGCAAAACCAUAAAUUUAUCUUACAGCAUAUAUAGCCUUUAAGUUCAAAUUCAGAUGACUCAAAUUAAAUAAAAUAAAAAAACCUAUUAAAUAUAACUAUAACAUAUACUGUAAAAAUAAUGAUUUUUACAAUGUUGACAUGUUUUUUUUUCUUUUGAGUAAUAACCCCCAGGGACUUUUAUUCAAGAAAAAAUAAUGUGGGCAUGUUUGGUGUUGUAGGUGAUCAUGUAAUGACUUGUAUUUAGAUAUUAUGUUAACUAUCUUUAUGGUUCAAGGGCCCUGUGUAUAUAUUGCUGCUCAUGCAAUAAUUUACACACAAACACAAAGAGAGAGAGAGGAUAAUAUAUGGAGUUGGUUACAGUAGAGGUGUAGCAGGAUGUCAUGUGAUAUGCUGGGGCUCUCAUGAGUGUGGAGAGAGAGAUAGAGAGAGAGAAAGAGAGAGAUCAUGGGUUAGAGAGUGAGAGAGCAAUGUCUCAUUACUUCCAUGUUGGUGGUUUAUCUCCACCAUAAUGUAUGUGUGGUACUUGUUCAUCUGUCUACCUCUUAUCUUAAUUACCUUCUCUCUCACUCUCUCUUCUCUUACAUUUUCAUUUCUCCUGCCAAUGUGUUUGCAUCUCCUCUUCCUUUCAUAAACCAUCUCCACCCUUUCCAGAUAAGUAUUAUAUAAAUCAGUUUAUAGUUAUUAAAAAAAAUGUUUACAUAUAUAUCUUAGUUAGUUCUAACACUUAAAUAUAAGCAUAUUCCUAUUUCUUAUUUUUUUUCAAAAGAAUUUCGGUACCAGUGGCAUAGGCUCUUGUCGAGAGUUUGUAGGUGGAGUGUGACAUGUUGUGUACUAUGUCAUGCCAAUAUAUGCCGAUAAUAAAAAUACCUGUUCAUCUGCCGACAAAUUAUGUUGAUAUUUUAUGGCAUAAAAUAUUUAUUUUUUACACCAGUAUAUUCUAAUUAGUUAUGCACUUUGUUAAAAUAGUUAUUUGCUAUUUCAAAAACAGAGUAUGUUGAGAUGCUGAAAUAUAGGCACUUAAAACCUGGUUUCUUCGUCAUGAGCUUCAGUGCAUGCAUGUACCAAAAACUUAAGUAAUUAAAUUAACUAGCUAAUUAAUAUAAGUACCAAUUUAGCUCCAAGUGUUUCAAGAAGCGCACUUCAACUUUAUUUUAGGGCACAAUAUGACUUCUCAAGAAAGAAAAGGAUAGCAAAAUAAUAAGUGUUUAAUAUUUAAAGUGUAGUCAUUUUCAAGUUAAAAAUUUUAAUUUGACGCAGACAUUUAACCAUUGUCGGCAAAUUAAGAUCAGAGGCUCAAGCAUGGCUUUAGGGAUCGAUUAAUCAACAAUAUUAAUCAUUAAUUUGUAGGUAAAGUAGAGGCAAAAGGGAGGUGUUUGAAAUGUGUGACAUAAUUCAUUAAGAGUGUCACGUUCCUAAUUAAUCUAUUAAUAAGACCGUAGAGCUAAUUAUAAGCUAGCCGUACGUGUUAUCUUUCGGUCCAUUUUGUGAUUGCAUUUGCGUGUCCCACAAAAAUCUGAUCACCAAUCACUUACCGAUUCGAUUCAUUGCAUGCGAUUCUAUGAUUGCUAAACCAGUUUUGGCAUAUAUUGCGUACGUAUGUACGUAGCUAGGUAUUAUUUUUUCCAACUAAAAUGAUUAGGUUUCAUAAAUCUGAUCUGUCUUUUUAAAUUGAUUUGUACGCGAUUGAUUCUGUAGUAACAAUAAAUAACAAUAUAUAUAUAUAUAUAUGUAUUCAUGAUCUCGCUGCUUGCACAGGGUGGGAGGCGUGGACAAAGCGUGUGGAGAGACGUGGCCAUACCACAAUUGCAUAUAUAUGAGCCGAGACACAAUAUUGAGCUCUCAACGUUUCCUUAGAACCCUCCACACAUCUACACAAGUGCCAUCUCUCUUUGGUCCCCCCUAAACCAAAAUACCCACGCGAGCUUCUUAACUCUCUCUCUCUCUCUCUCUCUAGAUCUCUCUCUCUCUUGAGUAUCUUUGCAUUGCUUUUCUCACUCUAUUUAAGGUAAAUAUAUGUAGAGAGAAUGAGGAGAUAAUCUAAGAGAGAGAGAGAGAGAGAGAGAGAGAGAGAGAGAGAGAGAGAGAAGGAGAGGGAAUUGUAAUAGAGUGGAGGCAUUUGGGAGCUUGGUAGGAAUUUUUCCACUGGGGUCAGGUACUAAUUAAUCCUACAUUUUAUAUGUUGAGCAUAAACAUUAAUAAUACUAUCUUUUUAAUUAAUUGAUAGCUUAAAUUUUUUUACGAUACGUGGUUGUUUCUGUUAAUUAUUUUAAUAUGAUGUCAGAACAAGAGAUUUUGAGUUCGAAUCCCAUUCGACUUGUUAUCCAUUAUAGUGGAAGCUUUUGGAGGUAACUGAUUAUUUCGUUUUUUUUUUUUACAUUAUUUUGUUUAAUUCCAUGCAUAUAAUAACCCUAAAUUUUAAUGACCAUGUUUGUGUCGUAAAGAUUAAUUUUCCAUCCUUUUCGACUAAAUUGAUUUUUCAUUUUUUUAGAUACUUUAGAUACUAUGGUAUCAGAGAAUCUAGUCCUAAUUAAUUAAUUAGCCCACUUCUACAUUAUUUUAUAUAACAUUUUUAUUUAUAAAAAUAAGAUAAAAAGAUAGUAAGAAUAUGCGUAGAGGAGUCGUGAUAAUGCGCACUACAACAGAAUUAGGUUAUAGGGAUACAUGUUUGGGACACUUUUGAGUAAGUGUUCCAUUUAUACUAAAACUUAAAAACGCAUAUACUAAUACCUAAAUAUAAAGCCCAAUCCAACCAAAAAUAAAAGAUUACUCUACUCAACCCACCACACCCAGUCCAUUUGGUCCGAUUACAAACAGAAAAGAAAAAAAAAAGAAAAAUCAAUUACCAUCUUCUCUUCUCUCUUCACUCAAUCCACUGAAAUUCUAGACGAAGAGCCUUUACUGUCGUCCUCCUCCGCCACCGCAGCCAACGAGAUAGAGUUUUGGCGGUUGCUAAAUGCUUAAAUAAGUGUUGGUAAAUUAGUAGCACUCUUUUAGGUUAUAGCGACACUCUUUAACUGUCACUAUAUACCUAGCGACCCCACAUAUAGCAACACUUUUUAAAAGUGUCGGUAAUUUUAGCUAGUAGCACUUUUUUGACAUGUGCCUAUAUUUAAAAGUGUCGCUAUAGACCGUUUUUGUUGUAGUAGCGGUAGAUUUGACUCGGACGUUGGUCCAAAAACAUAGAGAUGUAUUGUAUGCUGGUGCAUUGUCAUCGUCAAUAAGGAGUAAAAAUUAAACUCUUUUUUUAGUGGGCACAUAUGUUCAAAUCCCCAUCUCCCCCCCCCCUAUAUUCAUUUUUUGUCACCUACAAAAACGAGUCAACUAAUUUGUACUUUUAACUGACCGUCCCUAGAGCAAGUGACAAAGGGCUCGGUGGUUAGUACCGGAGACCCAAGUUCGAAUCCUAAUUAAUUCACAUUUUCAGUUAAGUUUAUUUCUAAAUGAAAUAAAUGAAACGGAUAGCGUGCUACCUAUCUCUCUCAAAAAAAAAAAAAAAAAAAAAAAGUUGUACCUUUCCUAGCUUUGCUCCUUGUAUUAGCCAUCACACUAAUUAAGGAGAUAAACAUAGGCAUCUUUAAAUUUUAAUAUUGGUCGAUAAAGAUUUGACCAAAUUCAUUGAAUUUGAUAAUUAACUUGUUUUAUGAAAAAUUAAUGGCUAUUACAUGAAUCAGCUGAAACUAUAGUCAAUUUGUUUUAAGCUCCAAUUUAUUUAGGGCUUCUAUAUAUACCCAAUUUAGCUAUAUGAACAUCAAGAGUUUAUAUAUUAGUUAAAAAAAGAUACUUUAUUUAUGUAGAACAAAUUAAUCAACAAUUAUAUAUGUUACUACUAUAUCACAUGGAAUAACGCACCCUCUUGGUCAUGCUGUAAAACACGUAUGUUGUACGUAUCGAACGAGCCACGCCUACAAUUGUGCUUUGUUUUCACCUACCAACUUGUAUAUAUUGAUAACGUUGUGAUCUCAAUCUCCUCUUCUUGUUCAAGGUUACUAGAGAUCAAAACACAGCUGCAACCAAUGGACUCGGACCCACCACUUCUCUCCACGUACCGCGCUCUCUUCGACGCCCGCGAUCGCGAACGGAUCGAUCCCGAUGCGAUCGCCUUGACCGCAGCAUCGGACGAGUGUGAGCUUCCCCUCAUCGAUCUCGACCGUCUAAACGUAGCUGGUCACGACGGUCGCGACGCGACGGAGAAGUGUAAGAGGGAGAUAGUGGAGGCUGCCUCUCAAUGGGGCUUCUUCCAGGUGGUGAACCACGGCGUGUCCAACGAGCUCAUCGCGAGGGUGAGGGAGGAGCAGGUGAGCGUGUUUCGGCGGCCGUUCGCGAAGAAGGCGACGGAGCAGCUUUUGGAUUUCGCCCCCGAUAGCUACCGGUGGGGGACGCCGACCGCCUCGUCACCUGACCAGUUGUCGUGGUCGGAGGCAUAUCAUAUUCCUCUGACGCCGUCGGCUGCGCCCGGUCCCACCGAGGGCGCAACCAGGUACCUGUUCUUGUGUCUGGAUUUUGCAUAACUCUGACGCACGCAUAUAAAAAUAUAAGUACUUUUUCAUAUAUUAGUGUACAGUAAUUUUCUGCUCUCUGCUCUGCUUACUGUCAAACUUGUUUAUUACAUACGGUAGAAACUAUUGCCUGGACCAAGUCCACAAUGUCAGCUUAAUUUGGACCACUUUGCGAUCUAGCUACUGCACAGUUUCCAAAUUUAAAGUCAUUUCACAUUAUUAUUCAACCAACAAUUUCUUCGACCAAAAAAACACGUUAUGUAUCGUUAAGAUUACUUCUUCGAUCGAGCACUAGUAAAUUAAGGGACAAUUAAUUAUGGACUAAUUAAUUAAGAAGGAAUGCAUUCUAAUACAGGCACAUAGUCGAGGAGUUUUCGACGGCGAUGUCGCGAUUAGCGCAUAAGCUCGCAGGUAUACUCGCGGAGGGAUUAGGGGAGGGGGAUCAGGGAUACAUAAAGGAGAAGUGCACGUGUAAUACGUGCUACUUACGGUUAAACCGAUAUCCACCAUGCCCGAUUCGUUGUGGGGCAUUUGGGUUAACCCCUCACACUGAUAGUGACUUUCUCACCAUCUUACACCAGGAUCAUGUUGGUGGGCUACAGCUUAUGCAGGGGAAGAGGUGGCUCACUGUUAAACCUAAUCCCCAUGCACUCAUCAUCAACAUUGGUGACCUGUUCCAGGUACUUAAUUAAUUAUAUAUAUAUGGUCUCAAAUAUAUAUGCAUGUUUAAUUAGUUAGUUAUCUCUUGUGAUCAUUAUGUGGUAACAUUUAAGAUGUUCUUUUUUUUUUUUGUCUGAAUCUAUAAAUAUAUAUGUAUGUAUAUAUGCAGGCAUGGAGUAAUAACAUGUACAAAAGUGUGGAGCACAGAGUGAUGUCCAACGCAAAGCUGGAGAGGUUCUCAGUGGCCUAUUUCUUGUGCCCCUCUUAUGACACUGUGAUACAGAGUUAUGCAGAGCCUGCUAUUUACAGGAAAUUUAGCUUUGGGGAAUAUAGAGAGCAAAUCAAAGAAGAUGUGCGAUUAAUGGGGCGUAAAAUCGGGCUUACAAGGUUCCUUGCUGUUCAAAGCUUGUGAUAGUAAUGAAAAAUUUAGAUAAAGCAAUUGCUUAAAAUGCAUGUGUUCCACCAUUUAACACCAUUUGUAUAUGCCGCGCGCUUGAUUAUUUUGGUGUUCAAAGUGAUUUAAAAUUGUGGGCAAAAUUCAACAAAAUCCGAGUCUACAAUAGUUGUUUGAAACAAUUAUAAGAUUUAUAUGGCUUAUUCUAACUUUCUAUCAGUUUCGAUGUUAAUACGUAUAUAAUUCUUAAACGAAACGGGUAUCAUGCUAUGCUACGUACUUUUUCUCAAAAAAAAUAUUUAGAGGCCACAUAUUGAUCGGGAUGGGCCUGUACUUAAAACUCGCUGUGGCAUGCGCGCGCCGUAACACUUUUUAACAUGUCUCUCUGCAUGGAUUUUGAAGCACCGACUCGCAUCUCAAAACAACUAAUGCUAAUCUUUUUUAAAAAAGAAGUAAAGUAACAUGUUACUGUUUCAUUCAAUUGGAAAAUAAAUGUAGCAAAAGAAUGAGACAACUGGGCCUUAGGAGCCAAAAUAAAAGGAUUUAUAAAUCGAUCACUAAAAUUCGAUCAAAAAAAAGCUACGUAGCACAAAAAGAGAGACAAAGGUUCCUAAACAAACAAAUGUUCAGUAACAAAAAUCAUGAUUGCCGAUGAAUUUAACGUUCUCAGGGAAAUAAGCUGUGACCUAUUUUAUUGAACAAAAAUUUAGUGGGACCAGUUUCCAACGUAAGACUGUCUUAUCUGUUAUUCGUUAGGUAAGAGACAUAAAAUUUAAAAUCUUAUAAACCGUAAUAAAGUGAUCUUAUAUUAAGGACUGCCCAUAAAAUUAAUAAUUUUUCCAUUUCAUCUAAUUUUUGUCAAUGUAUAUUUUUUUUAGACCAUCCAACAAAUUUUUCCUAAUUCGGAAAAGGAAAUACAAAGAGAGGAACAGAAUGAGAGAGAAAAAAAAUUACAAAGCAAAAACGCUCCCCAAUAUAUUAUUCAAGAGCAUUUCUCAUUUAUUAUUAUUAGUACCCCCACAGUCCCACACACGAUAAUGUGUGGCUAUUAUUUAUUUAACAAAUUGAGAUGCAUACAUACGUAUGCAUGUAGUACGUACGUCCCAUGCAUACAUAUACACCAUCUUCUCCUUCUUCUUCUUCUUUUACCACCUCUCCAUUACCACACCUCCCUCACUCUCUUAUACAUAUAUAUACUACUACCACCCUUCUCCGCGAAUACGGCAAUACUCCGGGCGCAUGCCGCACAUCGACGGUAGCCGCUCCGCCUUCCUCAUCAUCUCCUCCAUCGGCCCCCUGCAGGCGCCGCCGCCGCCUCCUCCUUCUCCUCCCUCUCCUCCCUCCCCCUCCUCCUCCAUCAUCUCCUUCAUCAUCUCCUUUACCGCCUCACACCGACACCCCUCGCUCACCGCCCUCAGCUCCCGGCAGCACUUCUCCUUCAUGCUCAUCUGGUUCGUCGUUGCCGACAUCGCCAACACGCCACGCCCGAACUUUUCUCCCCCACCGCCACUCAUGCUCUUCAUGAAAUUCUUGCACGGUUGCAUCGGGCACUGCUGCACCUCCCGUCGGCACCGCUCGGACAGGUUCUCGUCACCGUCAAACUCGUCCCUUGCGCCGUAGAAGUAGGCAUCGGUCGUGAGAGUGGAUGCGAGGAUUGCGAGAAGGGCGGCGAUGGCGGUGAGCUUAAGAGUGUUUGAGGUCGCCAUAGGUGAUGGUGUGUAUGAAGUUCUUAGGUAUGUAAUGGUAUGGGGGGAGAUGAGGAAGGUGUGGAGGGGUGUAUAUAUAUACAGAGGAGAGGUAGGGGAUGGGUUAAUUGGUGUGGAGGGUUUACCACAUGACGACUAAUUAAUGCUUUGGGUAUAACCUAUUUAAUAAUUCACAGCUCUCUUAUUGAAGAAUAUAUAUUGUUUUAACAUUAUUAAUGUGUUAACAAAUCAAUAUUAUAAAUUAUAUGAAUAAAUUAAUAAUAAUUCUCUAAUUCAUAAGGAUCAAUAUAUUAACAAUAUAUAAGGAGAAUUAUUUAUUAAACACCUCCUAUAUUUGUUGACAUAUUGCUUUACACUACAAAAGCUUAUCUAUAUAGCCUAGUUUAAAUGUCAGGAUAAGUUAUAUAUAUAUCUAGCUAAUAAUAUGUUUCACGAUAUAAAUUUUUGUUUUUGUUUUACCUGCGUUUACUAUAAUUUUAUCAGGACAUUGUGUUCCACUUUUAACAUCAUUCAUUUUAUUCUUAGAAAAAAUAACAAGGAAGGUAAUUAAAUUUAGCAUACCAUUAUAGAUCAAAUCAUGCACCUAUAUAUGCAAGCACUUUAUGAUCUAUUUACCAUAUAUUAUAAUUAUGUAAUUGAAAAAAAAACAUUUGUGCAUCCAAACAGAUUAAUUCUAGGUGGUGCAUUAACAUAAAAGCAUAUUGAAAAACCGCUAAAGAAACAGCUAGCCUUGGCUACUAGCUAGUGUACUCUUCCUUAAAGGGGGCUUUGCUUUGGUGGAGAGCGAGGAGAACGCAUGAAGAGAUCAGGGUUACACGUGAAGGUCGAGGUGGGAGAUGCAUGCAUGGGGACGAAGACGAAUGAAGGGUGUGUUUGGAGCUUUGCUAACCGGAACAUGCAUGCGUGGUGUGUUGGUAAGAGAGAGGGGACACAUCACGCAUGGGAUGAUAUGGUUUUUCAUGUGAUGAGUACAAAUACACUCUAGCUGCCGCGGCUAUAUUAAUAUACAUUUAUUAUUAUUAUUAUUAUUAUCAUCAUUGUCUAUCGUAUUGGCUCAAAUCCAUUUACAUGUUAGGUCUAUCAUGUGGCAUCUUGCUGUUCAAUCUCUUAUGGAUUAUAGUUUCACUCAACUUAUUAGUCCUUUAGGUUUAUUAUCACGGGGGCAAAAAGUUAGAUAUCUUGUGGAUCGUAGUUUCACUCAGCUUAUUAGUUUUCUGAGUCUAUUAUUACGGGGGCAAAAAAUUAGAUCUAUUGUGGACCGUAGUCGGCUAGGAAGUUAAUUAGAUCUCUUGCGGAUCGUAGUUCCGCUUAAUUUAUUAGUUUUCUAGAUCUAUUAUCAUGGGGGCAGAAAAUUUGAUCUCUUGUGGAUCGUAAUCCCACUUAAUUUAUUAGUCUUCUUGGUCUAUUAUCACGAAGGCAGAAAGUUAGACCUAUUCUAAUCUAACACCCGUAUUGUUAAUGCAGCAUGUGAGAAUCGAAUUCGCACCACUAGCUUUGAUACUACUGUCGUAUCAUUGGCACUAACCAUUAAUCCCAAAAGCUUGAACCGUUAAAAAUACAUAACCAAUUUACUUAAAGUGUAUAAAUAUGGUACCCAUGGGUUUCGAUUAUAACUCGUUUAACCAAUCUCAUGCCACUUCAAAUAUGACUCGGUCCACCCAGUUUCACACCAUUUAAGCCAACAAAAAAUGCUGUAAAAAUUUUAAUUAAAUGUACAUAUGAAGAAAAUUUAAUUAUAUUCUACUCCACUGUAUUAUACUAUUUUUUUUUUCGAAUAUAUAUUUUAUUACUAUAUUUUAUCAAUCUCUGCACAGUAUUUUAGAUAUAAUUUUGUUUUUUUACAUAUACUAUUUUCUUUUCUCAUAGAUAUUACUAAACUAUUUUUAUCUCAACAAUCACUACAAUACUAUUAACAAAAUCUAUUUUUUAAACAAAAUUUAAUAAAUUUAUUAAGAGUCACCGACUAAAUAGUAGAAAUAAUAUAAAAUAAAAUUUCAAAAUAGGCUCAUUGAAAAUUUUUAUCAAAUUAUUUUCUAUUAUUUAUAUAUAUUUUGUUAUUUUUUACAUCAAAAUGAGCUAUAUAUAUACUCUGCGACUUUUAACCAAUAUCUCUUAGGCUUCAUUUGGGAUUGCGGGAAGAUUGCGUUAUGUAUGGUGAGAAAGUACGAUAGGAAAAUACCCAAUUUCUUUUCGUAUGUAAUAUUACGUUCCGCAUAUAACAAUGAUGAGUCGUUAUGAUAUAUUUUUCCGAUCCCAUUGGAGAAUACAGAAGCAUAUUCUUAUAUGCUUUUAUUUCAAUUCCAUUUUAACUAAUAACGCAGGAUAAGCCUCAAUACCAAACUAAUUAAGUCUUCAUAGUUUUCAUAUAAAAUAAUGAGUUUUUUUUUAUAGUGUAGAAAUUGAGAAAAAAAUAAUUUAGUACAGGAAUUAUGAGUUUUAACCGGUAUCUCUUAAUAGUUUUCAUAUAAAUUAUGAAUUUAUUUUUUAUAGUGUAGGAAUUGAGGAAAAAAAUAAUUGAGUAGUGUCUAAUCUGUAAAUGUAACGAUCUAACCUGUUAACAAUAUUAACUCGCUGGGCCUAAAUUACCGGCUUAAAAUAUUUAAAUCUAGUUAUUAUUAUUAGUACGUUCGUCACUUAUAAACUCAUCCUACUCUCACAUAUCGGAUUAUCCAAUAUGUUAAUCUGAUAUGGGAUUACUGGGAUGUCACGUACUAUCCUCGCUUAGGUGCUAACGUUUUCGUUAGGCUGACCUAAUCACACACAUAGUUCCAGAUUCACCAAACGAUCGAUAUGAGAUCUAUUUUAUAUUUUCUGCUGGUAAUUUGGGUCUAAUACCAAAUAUAACGAUUCGACUUGUUAGUAAUAAUAACUGGGUUUAAACAUCUUGCACCUACGAUUUGGGCUAAACGAGUUAUUAUUGCUAAAAGAUUAGAUCGUUACAGCAAAAUAUUAAUUAAGCCUAUGGAAAAAGUAAAAGUAAUAAUAUAUAGUU